GACGAACGCUGGCGGCGUGCCUAACACAUGCAAGUCGAACGGACGAAGGAGCUUCGGCUCCCUAGUUAGUGGCGAACGGGUGAGUAACGCGUGAGCAACCUGCCUUUCAGAGGGGGACAACAGCUGGAAACGGCUGCUAAUACCGCAUAACAUGAUUUAGCCGCAUGACUGGAUCAUCAAAGAUUUAUCGCUGAAAGAUGGGCUCGCGUCUGAUUAGCUAGUUGGUGGGGUAAAGGCCCACCAAGGCGACGAUCAGUAGCCGGACUGAGAGGUUGAACGGCCACAUUGGGACUGAGAUACGGCCCAGACUCCUACGGGAGGCAGCAGUGGGGAAUAUUGGGCAAUGGGGGCAACCCUGACCCAGCAACGCCGCGUGAAGGAAGAAGGCUUUCGGGUUGUAAACUUCUUUUACCAGGGACGAAGGACGUGACGGUACCUGGAGAAAAAGCCACGGCU
Molecule: ribosomal RNA, 456 nt
Filed under: uncultured bacterium
Lineage: Bacteria
Description: bacterial SSU rRNA
Rfam family: Bacterial small subunit ribosomal RNA
Source: RNAcentral